GUCUCGCUCUCCGGCAAAGACGAGGCAACCCGCCGCCACGCCGCCGGUGGCAAAAUCAUCCAUACGACGGCGGCCGGUUUUUUCGCCCCGUCACCGGCGAAGUUGUACCACGUGACUAUGUUGUCGUCGAAAAGUUCAGCAUAUAUUAAAGAUGAGUUAAGGAUAACAGUCAGACCUGCAAGUGGGCAUUUUCAGACUUAUCCGCUGUAUUCUAUGGAAAGAGAAUUUCCUGGCAGCGCUGAAGACUGUGUCAUAUGGAACAGAAAAAAUGUAAAUGCCUGCAUUUCGGCAAAAUGUUGACGGCAUAAAAAUCUGACGGAAGCUUUCUGCUGAGGGCGAGCGGCGGAAGAACAGGCAGUGUCCUGCAGAGAAUCAUCCUCGUCAUCUUCAUCCAUGAGGUCCGACGUGAGGAAGGAGUCGGUGUCGGAACCAUCACCCAAGGAAUCAGAUGAGGAAGAGAAGCCAGAGGAGAAAUCACUGUCAGAGGCUUCUCCUCCUUGGUGAUCCAUCUCCUGUCUGUUGUCUGUUGAUGCCACAAAGUUUGCAAAGUGCAUAGCCCAGCUGCUCUCGCCGACCGACAUGGACGCCGGCGGUGGCGGCUGGCUGAUGCAAGAAGACUGUGGCGAUGUUGUGUUCUCCAUGUGUAUGAGAAACUGCAAGCAGAAGCAGGCUGGCAGCAGUGAUAAGCUUCUAGCCGGGUGUUGUGUUCUGGAUGGAAUGCUGUGUUCGGCUCGUGCUGACCGUAUAUAUAGCUCCGGCUCCGGCUCCAGCGAGUGGAUAUGAAUGGAAGUACAUGAGCGUGAACUGUCUGUCAGGCACUGGCGCCCGUUUUAAAAAUUGGCAAUGGAGGAAUCUUAGCGUUGUAAUGGUCUCUUGAUCGAGAAUAAUUCCGCGAUCGAUCAUCGAUCGCCAUCAUGCAUAUUCUUUGGUGAUUGGGACCCAAGCGGCAGCAGAAGCAGUUGGAAUGCAUAGCCGGCUGGUGAUACAUGGAGAGCUACACUCCACCUACUAUUGCAGUAUUGGUGCUACUAGUAUUAUCUCUCCAUUUGUGCCCACGUUUUCCCUUGGAAUGGAUUGAUGGAGCUGCUGUACUGGUG
Long non-coding RNA from Triticum aestivum (bread wheat), 1097 nucleotides. RefSeq lists it as uncharacterized. The transcript has 5 exons. The record is from RefSeq and is a predicted model, not a curated record. Lineage: Eukaryota; Viridiplantae; Streptophyta; Magnoliopsida; Poales; Poaceae.